This 708-nucleotide ribosomal RNA is filed under the name Nostoc sp. PCC 7120 = FACHB-418. Its description in RNAcentral is "bacterial SSU rRNA". It matches the Rfam family "Bacterial small subunit ribosomal RNA", at positions 1 to 780 of the family's 1533-position model. Lineage: Bacteria; Bacillati; Cyanobacteriota; Cyanophyceae; Nostocales; Nostocaceae. The record is from RNAcentral.
GAUAGAUUCGUCGACACAGAGUUUGAUCCUGGCUCAGGCUAAUUCCCAACAAAGAUUUUGAUCCUGGAAAGGCUUGUUCAAAAACAGAGUCGGGCCGGGGACCCUCUCAGUAAACGGUGGAUAAUACCGGAUGUGCCGAAAGGUGAAAGAUUUAUUGCCUGAAGAUGAGCUCGCGUCUGAUUAGCUAGUUGGUGUGGUAAGAGCGCACCAAGGCGACGAUCAGUAGCUGGUCUGAAAGGAUGAUCAGCCACACGGGGACUGAGACACGGCCCAGACUCCUACGGGAGGCAGCAGUGGGAAAUUUUCCGCAAUGGGCAAAAGCCUGACGGAGCAAUACCGUUUGAGGGAGGAAGGCUCUUGGGUUGUAAACCUCUUUUCUCAGGGAAUAAAAAAAUGAAGGUACCUGAGGAAUAACCAUCGGCUAACUCCGUGCCAGCAGCCGCGGUAAUACGGAGGAUGCAAGCGUUAUCCCGCACCAUUGGGCGUAAAGCGUCCGCAGGUGGCACUGUAAUUCUGCUGUUAAAGAGCAAGGCUCAACCUUGUAAAGGCAGUGGAAACUACAAAGCUAGAUUACUCUCGGGGCAGAGGGAAUUCCUGGUUGUAGCGGUGAAAUGCGUAGAGAUCAGGAAAAACACCGGUGGCUAAAACGCUCUGCAAGGCCAUAACUGACCACUGAGGGUCAAAAGCUAGGGGAACGAAUUGGUAUUA